GACGAACGCUGGCGGCGUGCCUAAUACAUGCAAGUCGAACGCACUCUCGUUUAGAUUGAAGGAGUUUGCUCCUGAUUGAUAAACAUUUGAGUGAGUGGCGGACGGGUGAGUAACACGUGGGUAACCUGCCCUAAAGUGAGGGAUAACAUUUGGAAACAGAUGCUAAUACCGCCUAAAACCUAACACCGCAUGGUGUAGGGUUGAAAGAUGGUUUCGGCUAUCACUUUAGGAUGGACCCGCGGUGCAUUAGUUAGUUGGUGAGGUAAAGGCUCACCAAGACCGUGAUGCAUAGCCGACCUGAGAGGGUAAUCGGCCACACUGGGACUGAGACACGGCCCAGACUCCUACGGGAGGCAGCAGUAGGGAAUCUUCCACAAUGGACGAAAGUCUGAUGGAGCAACGCCGCGUGAGUGAAGAAGGUUUUCGGAUCGUAAAACUCUGUUGUUGGAGAAGAAUGUAUCUGAUAGUAACUGAUCAGGUAGUGACGGUAUCCAACCAGAAAGCCACGGCUAACUACGUG
RNAcentral lists this ribosomal RNA (520 nucleotides) under uncultured bacterium. RNAcentral describes it as "partial 16S ribosomal RNA". It matches the Rfam family "Bacterial small subunit ribosomal RNA", at positions 28 to 507 of the family's 1533-position model. The record is from RNAcentral.